Long non-coding RNA from Xenopus tropicalis (tropical clawed frog), 375 nucleotides. RefSeq lists it as uncharacterized. The transcript is spliced from 3 exons. The record is from RefSeq and is a predicted model, not a curated record. NCBI's taxonomy places the organism in Eukaryota, Metazoa, Chordata, Amphibia, Anura, Pipidae.
UACCGAUGAAAAAGGAGUAUCGCUGGGGCAUCUGUAUUUAUCUGGCUUCCCGUGACUUCUUCGCAGAUCUCUUUCACCUGUUUCCAGAAUGAGGUAUAUUGAUCCCAUUUACAUUCAAGGAUAUCACAUUUAACUUGUGCAUCAUAAUUUCAGGUGUUGCUACCUCGAUCCAGUCCUCCUUUCCUGGGAGUGGUGGGAUCUGUGGUGUCUGUGAAAAUUUCAUCCAUUCCGUCAGAUCUGGUUCCUCAAUGCCACAACCUCUGCAGAAUGGUGUUAUGUCGUCCGGUGAGUUGAGGGUGAUCUGUUUUCCAUCUUUGUUUACCUGGAUGCUGAAGGGGAAUCCCCAUCUGAACAUUGUCCCUUUUUCCUGUAAAA